AGCCUCAGGUGUUGGGUACCGGUAACGGCCCAGCGAUCCUUACUGACCGUAGGUUCACCUGGGGCUUU
RNAcentral lists this non-coding RNA (68 nucleotides) under unclassified sequences. The record is from RNAcentral.